RNAcentral lists this unclassified non-coding RNA (284 nucleotides) under plant metagenome. RNAcentral's name for it is "partial contains small subunit ribosomal RNA and internal transcribed spacer 1". The stretch from base 1 to 53 matches the Rfam family "Eukaryotic small subunit ribosomal RNA", at positions 1778 to 1831 of the family's 1831-position model. The record is from RNAcentral.
GGAAGUAAAAGUCUAACAAGGUUUCCGUAGGUGAACCUGCGGAAGGAUCAUUAUUGUAUAACCGAGGUGCGAGGGCUGUCGCUGACCCGAAAGGUCGUGCACGCCCGAGUGCCCUCACACACAUCCAUCUCACCCCUAUGUGCACCACCGCGUGGGUCCCCCUUUGGCUUGUUCGGAGGGGGGCUUACGUUUUCACACAAACUUUGUAUGCAGUGUAGAAUGUAUUUUUUGUUUUUGCGAUCACGCAAUCAAUACAUCUUUCAACAACGGAUCUCUUGGCUCUC